Molecule: transfer RNA, 74 nt
Filed under: Elusimicrobiota bacterium
Lineage: Bacteria; Pseudomonadati; Elusimicrobiota
Also listed under: 1 other name
Description: tRNA-Gln
Rfam family: tRNA
About the family: Transfer RNA (tRNA) molecules are approximately 80 nucleotides in length. Their secondary structure includes four short double-helical elements and three loops (D, anti-codon, and T loops).
Source: RNAcentral
UGCCCUCUAGUGCAAUGGUAGCACGACUGACUCUGGAUCAGUUAAUUGUGGUUCGAAUCCACAGGGGGCAGCCA